UACGUAGGGUGCAAGCGUUAAUCGGAAUUACUGGGCGUAAAGCGUGCGCAGGCGGUUAUGCAAGACAGAGGUGAAAUCCCCGGGCUCAACCUGGGAACUGCCUUUGUGACUGCAUAGCUAGAGUGCGGCAGAGGGGGAUGGAAUUCCGCGUGUAGCAGUGAAAUGCGUAGAUAUGCGGAGGAACACCGAUGGCGAAGGCAGCCUUCUGGGCCAACACUGACGCUCAUGCACGAAAGCGUGGGGAGCAAACAGG
Molecule: ribosomal RNA, 253 nt
Filed under: uncultured bacterium
Lineage: Bacteria
Description: partial 16S ribosomal RNA
Rfam family: Bacterial small subunit ribosomal RNA
Source: RNAcentral